This 373-nucleotide unclassified non-coding RNA is filed under the name soil metagenome. RNAcentral's name for it is "partial contains 5.8S ribosomal RNA, internal transcribed spacer 2, and large subunit ribosomal RNA". The stretch from base 1 to 121 matches the Rfam family "5.8S ribosomal RNA", at positions 35 to 154 of the family's 154-position model. The record is from RNAcentral.
GAUGAAGAACGUAGCGAAAUGCGAUAAGUAAUGCGAAUUGCAGAAUUCCAGUGAGUCAUCGAAUCUUUGAACGCACAUUGCGCCCUUUGGUAUUCCGAAGGGCAUGCCUGUUCGAGCGUCAUUAUCACCCCUCAAGCCCUCGGCUUGGUGUUGGACGGUUUGGUGGAGGCCCCCUCGGGGGUUCCUGCCCCUCCCAAAGACAAUGACGGCGGCCUCGUUGGACCCCUGGUACACUGAGUUCUUCACGGGACACGUAUCGGACACAUGGGUUUACGGGACACGGUCUGCCUCCCCUCAGGGAGAAUCUUUCUAAGGUUGACCUCGGAUCAGGUAGGGAUACCCGCUGAACUUAAGCAUAUCAAUAAGCGGAGGA